UAUUUAUAACACCGAGCUAUCACAGCUAACAUUACUGUACUUUUGGCUAAAUAAAAUCUGCUGAUUGCCAGUAAUCAUGCUGAGACACGCCGUAACUAAGUCCAUGGCUAUCAUGGUUUUUAGUUGCCAGGGUUAACAAGGAAACACGUUAGCCUCCCUACAUUUGGAAAGGUGACAUGUUAA
Molecule: non-coding RNA, 183 nt
Filed under: uncultured Colwellia sp.
Lineage: Bacteria; Pseudomonadati; Pseudomonadota; Gammaproteobacteria; Alteromonadales; Colwelliaceae
Description: Moco (molybdenum cofactor) riboswitch
Rfam family: Molybdenum/Tungsten riboswitch aptamer (Moco RNA motif)
Source: RNAcentral